This 465-nucleotide ribosomal RNA is filed under the name uncultured bacterium. RNAcentral's name for it is "partial 16S ribosomal RNA". It matches the Rfam family "Bacterial small subunit ribosomal RNA", at positions 338 to 795 of the family's 1533-position model. The record is from RNAcentral.
CCUACGGGAGGCAGCAGUGGGGAAUCUUGCGCAAUGGGCGAAAGCCUGACGCAGCGACGCCGCGUGAGUGAUGAAGGUCUUCGGAUCGUAAACCUCUGUCAGCAGGGAAGAACGGUCACUGUGCUAAUCAGCAGUGAAUUGACGGUACCUGCAAAGGAAGCACCGGCUAACUCCGUGCCAGCAGCCGCGGUAAUACGGAGGGUGCGAGCGUUAAUCGGAAUUACUGGGCGUAAAGCGCUCGUAGGCGGUAUGUCAAGUCAAGGGUGAAAGCCCCGCGCUCAACGUGGGAACUGCCUUUGAAACUGGCAAACUGGAGUGUGUGAGAGGAUAGUGGAAUUCCAGGUGUAGGAGUGAAAUCCGUAGAUAUCUGGAGGAACAUCAGUGGCGAAGGCGACUAUCUGGCACAUAACUGACGCUGAGGAGCGAAAGCGUGGGUAGCAAACAGGAUUAGAUACCCCUGUAGUC